Molecule: small nuclear RNA, 102 nt
Organism: Talpa occidentalis (Iberian mole)
Lineage: Eukaryota; Metazoa; Chordata; Mammalia; Eulipotyphla; Talpidae
Source: RefSeq, a predicted model, not a curated record
GUUUGCUUCGAUAGCACAUAUACUAAAGUUGGAACAAUACAGAGAUUAACAUGGUCUCUGCACAAAGAUGACAUGCAAAUUCAUGAAGCAUUCCAUAUUUAA